Molecule: microRNA, 22 nt
Filed under: Gadus morhua (Atlantic cod)
Lineage: Eukaryota; Metazoa; Chordata; Actinopteri; Gadiformes; Gadidae
Description: gmo-miR-430e-5p
Gene: gmo-miR-430e-5p
Source: miRBase by way of RNAcentral
ACCUGAAAUAGAGGCAUUGGUG